This 107-nucleotide small nuclear RNA is filed under the name Capra hircus (goat). Lineage: Eukaryota; Metazoa; Chordata; Mammalia; Artiodactyla; Bovidae. The record is from RNAcentral.
GUGCUCGCUUCAGCAGCACAUAUACUAAAGUUGGAACGAUACAGAGAAGAUUAGCACGGCCCCUGCGCAAGGAUGACACACAAAUUCGUGAAGCAUUCCAUAUUUUU